CUGAGACCAACACAUUACUUGAGCAAUUAAUUAAAACUCUCAACACUAAACAAAUUGAGACCUGUUACUUAAGCAAUUACUUGAGAGCCUUCCCAAAUUGUCAACCACAAGGCCCACAACUCUUAUAAUAAUUUGUCUUGUUGAACUCCACUUGAUCCAAAAGCUUUAAUUGACAAGUCUUUGACAAUGUCAACGCACAUGUUAUCCUAACAAAUCUCCCCUUCACAUGUGAGUCCAACAUCAACGAACUGCUCCCCUUGAUUGUCAACAUACUUUUAGCACUAAACACACACCGAGGCUAGCACAUAACUUGAAAACUCUCGCUACUCAACAAGUUGAUGCCUGCUCAUUAAUGGUGAGUUCUGAUAUCAUUUUAUUGAGGAGCCUUGGUAAUGAAUGUCCUAAUACACUUGUUGAACUCAACAUGAAAAAAAAAAAAACCUUAAUUCAAUAUGUAGUUUAAUCACAAUUCACAGUAGGCACUAUAUUGAUCAAGUGACGAGGAAAAUGAGCAUGAAUCUCUAACCUAAAAUUGGAAAGAAUGUCAAUAAGUCGUAACAGCUUUCUUGAGAAAAACGGCUCUUGUAAGACCUCCAUACAGGUCAACUCAGCUUUGGUGCC
Molecule: long non-coding RNA, 621 nt
Filed under: Panax ginseng (ginseng)
Lineage: Eukaryota; Viridiplantae; Streptophyta; Magnoliopsida; Apiales; Araliaceae
Description: long non-coding RNA (PGIN_LNC004246)
Source: RNAcentral